AUACGGAGGGUGCAAGCGUUAUCCGGAAUCAUUGGGUUUAAAGGGUCCGUAGGCGGACUAUUAAGUCAGAGGUGAAAUCCCACAGCUCAACUGUGGAGCUGCCUUUGAUACUGGUAGUCUUGAGUUAUAUGGAAGUAGAUAGAAUGUGUAGUGUAGCGGUGAAAUGCAUAGAUAUUACACAGAAUACCGAUUGCGAAGGCAGUCUACUACGUAUAUUCUGACGCUAAGGGACGAAAGCGUGGGGAGCGAACAGGAUUAGAUACCCUAGUAGUCC
Molecule: ribosomal RNA, 274 nt
Filed under: uncultured bacterium
Lineage: Bacteria
Description: partial 16S ribosomal RNA
Rfam family: Bacterial small subunit ribosomal RNA
Source: RNAcentral